GUGGAUUAGAUACCCGGGUAGUCCACGCCCUAAACGAUGUCUACUAGUUGUCGGGUCUUAAUUGACUUGGUAACGCAGCUAACGCGUGAAGUAGACCGCCUGGGGAGUACGGUCGCAAGAUUAAAACUCAAAGGAAUUGACGGGGACCCGCACAAGCGGUGGAUGAUGUGGAUUAAUUCGAUGCAACGCGAAAAACCUUACCUACCCUUGACAUGGAUGGAAUCCUGAAGAGAUUUGGGAGUGCUCGAAAGAGAACCAUCACACAGGUGCUGCACGGUCGUCGCCAACU
This 289-nucleotide ribosomal RNA is filed under the name uncultured bacterium. RNAcentral's name for it is "partial 16S ribosomal RNA". It matches the Rfam family "Bacterial small subunit ribosomal RNA", at positions 773 to 1060 of the family's 1533-position model. The record is from RNAcentral.